AUACGAAGGGGGCUAGCGUUGCUCGGAAUUACUGGGCGUAAAGGGAGCGUAGGCGGACUGUUUAGUCAGAGGUGAAAGCCCAGGGCUCAACCUUGGAAUUGCCUUUGAUACUGGCAGUCUUGAGUACGGAAGAGGUAUGUGGAACUCCGAGUGUAGAGGCGAAUUUCGUAGAUAUUCGGAAGAACACCAGUGGCGAAGGCGACAUACUGGUCCGUUACUGACGCUGAGGCUCGAAAGCGUGGGGAGCAAACAGGAUUAGAAACCCUAGUAGUCC
RNAcentral lists this ribosomal RNA (274 nucleotides) under uncultured bacterium. Its description in RNAcentral is "partial 16S ribosomal RNA". It matches the Rfam family "Bacterial small subunit ribosomal RNA", at positions 523 to 796 of the family's 1533-position model. The record is from RNAcentral.